GUAACUACUUAGAGUGACCCCUUCCUAAUGCGGAACAAGGUUUUCCUGGAGGCCAUCCUGAUCCUUGAGUCCUUAGCUUUUUGGAGUAUACACUGGACAUAACGCACAAGAUCAUCUUGCUUCUCAAAGAUGGUGUGAAAACCAAUGACCUAAAAUUCAGAAAGGAUUUAAAUUCCCUGAGAAGGUGCUCUUGAGGCACAUCAGAUAUCCUAUUGCUGAAGUGGAUUAUGAUGGCGGUGGUUCUCAACAAUGGAGAAUGUGCCAUCAUGAAGGCGAUUUCAGAAUGGUGGGGGCACCUGUGUGUUUGACAUAGCCCCUCAGAUAAUUCCCAUAUGCCUCCCAAA
This is a long non-coding RNA of Neomonachus schauinslandi (Hawaiian monk seal), 344 nucleotides long. RefSeq lists it as uncharacterized. Lineage: Eukaryota; Metazoa; Chordata; Mammalia; Carnivora; Phocidae. The transcript has 3 exons. The record is from RefSeq and is a predicted model, not a curated record.